UAAGCGAGAAGUUCUGACCUAUUAAAUGGAUGGAAUUUAGGAUGGCAAUUCAAGCUUGUUGUUCGCGAGCCAACUCGUAUUUGAUUUGAAAUGAGAUCGAGAUCGAAUCACUAGUUUAGUAAACGAGCUGAACACGAGCUGAAUUUUUAACUCAUUUAAUAAACAAGCCGAAUAUGAACUAAAGUCAGCUUGCUCGUAUUCGGCUCGAUAGCAGCUCGAAUAUAUAUAUAUAUUAUUUAAUUUUUAGUUCGAUCUAAAUGUAAAAUCAAACUUAAUUAUUAAAAUGCUUAUUUAUAUGUAAAGUCUCAAUAAUUACAUCAAAAUCUAAUAGAUAAAUUUUAAAAAUUUAUUUUUUUUAUAUAUCAUUUUUAAUUAUUUUAAUUUAUUGUCCGUGAGCCAGCUCAUAUUCGGCUCGAUACCUUAACAAGCCAGCUCAUGUUCUGUUCACUUAUAAAACCAAUCGAACACAAGUCGACCCCAGCUGGCUCGUGUUUCGCUCUCAGAC
Molecule: long non-coding RNA, 505 nt
Filed under: Ananas comosus (pineapple)
Lineage: Eukaryota; Viridiplantae; Streptophyta; Magnoliopsida; Poales; Bromeliaceae
Description: long non-coding RNA (ACOM_LNC016000)
Source: RNAcentral